CCUACGGGAGGCAGCAGUGGGGGAUAUUGCACAAUGGGGGAAACCCUGAUGCAGCGACGCCGCGUGGGCGAAGAAGUAUUUCGGUAUGUAAAGCCCUAUCAGCAGGGAAGAAGAAAUGACGGUACCUGAGUAAGAAGCACCGGCUAAAUACGUGCCAGCAGCCGCGGUAAUACGUAGGGUGCAGGCGUUAUCCGGAGUUACUGGGUGGAAAGGGAGCGCAGGCGGCACGGGCAGCCUGAGGGGAAAGCCCGCGGCCCAACCGCGGGACUGCAUUGGGAACUGCCGGGCUGGAGUGCCGGAGAGGUAGGCGGAAUUCCUAGUGUAGCGGUGAAAUGCGUAGAUAGUAGGAGGAACACCAGUGGCGAAGGCGGCCUACUGGACGGUGACUGACGCUGAGGCUCGAAAGCGUGGGGAGCAAACAGGAUUAGAUACCCUAGUAGUC
This 442-nucleotide ribosomal RNA is filed under the name uncultured bacterium. RNAcentral's name for it is "partial 16S ribosomal RNA". It matches the Rfam family "Bacterial small subunit ribosomal RNA", at positions 338 to 795 of the family's 1533-position model. The record is from RNAcentral.